RNAcentral lists this ribosomal RNA (468 nucleotides) under uncultured bacterium. RNAcentral's name for it is "partial 16S ribosomal RNA". It matches the Rfam family "Bacterial small subunit ribosomal RNA", at positions 28 to 507 of the family's 1533-position model. The record is from RNAcentral.
GAUGAACGCUGGCGGCGUGCUUAACACAUGCAAGUCGAACGGAAAGGCCCUGCUUUUGUGGGGUGCUCGAGUGGCGAACGCGUGAGUAACACGCGAGUAACCUGCCCUUGACUUUGGGAUAACUUCAGGAAACUGGGGCUAAUACCGGAUAGGAGCUCCUGCUGCAUGGUGGGGGUUGGAAAGUUUCGGCGGUUGGGGAUGGACUCGCGGCUUAUCAGCUUGUUGGUGGGGUAGUGGCUUACCAAGGCUUUGACGGGUAGCCGGCCUGAGAGGGUGACCGGCCACAUUGGGACUGAGAUACGGCCCAGACUCCUACGGGAGGCAGCAGUGGGGAAUAUUGCACAAUGGGCGGAAGCCGGAUGCAGCAACGCCGCGUGCGGGAUGACGGCCUUCGGGUUGUAAACCGCUUUCGCCUGUGACGAAGCGUGAGUGACGGUAAUGGGUAAAGAAGCACCGGCUAACUACGUG